AGAGUUUGAUCAUGGCUCAGAUUGAACGCUGGCGGCAGGCCUAACACAUGCAAGUCGAACGGUAACAGGAAGCAGCUUGCUGCUUUGCUGACGAGUGGCGGACGGGUGAGUAAUGUCUGGGAAACUGCCUGAUGGAGGGGGAUAACUACUGGAAACGGUAGCUAAUACCGCAUAACGUCGCAAGACCAAAGAGGGGGACCUUGCUCACCUAGGCGACGAUCCCUAGCUGGUCUGAGAGGAUGACCAGCCACACUGGAACUGAGACACGGUCCAGACUCCUACGGGAGGCAGCAGUGGGGAAUAUUGCACAAUGGGCGCAAGCCUGAUGCAGCCAUGCCGCGUGUAUGAAGAAGGCCUUCGGGUUGUAAAGUACUUUCAGCGGGGAGGAAGGGAGUAAAGUUAAUACCUUUGCUCAUUGACGUUACCCGCAGAAGAAGCACCGGCUAACUCCGUGCCAGCAGCCGCGGUAAUACGGAGGGUGCAAGCGUUAAUCGGAAUUACUGGGCGUAAAGCGCACGCAGGCGGUUUGUUAAGUCAGAUGUGAAAUCCCCGGGCUCAACCUGGGAACUGCAUCUGAUACUGGCAAGCUUGAGUCUCGUAGAGGGGGGUAGAAUUCCAGGUGUAGCGGUGAAAUGCGUAGAGAUCUGGAGGAAUACCGGUGGCGAAGGCGGCCCCCUGGACGAAGACUGACGCUCAGGUGCGAAAGCGUGGGGAGCAAACAGGAUUAGAUACCCUGGUAGUCCACGCCGUAAACGAUGUCGACUUGGAGGUUGUGCCCUUGAGGCGUGGCUUCCGGAGCUAACGCGUUAAGUCGACCGCCUGGGGAGUACGGCCGCAAGGUUAAAACUCAAAUGAAUUGACGGGGGCCCGCACAAGCGGUGGAGCAUGUGGUUUAAUUCGAUGCAACGCGAAGAACCUUACCUGGUCUUGACAUCCACGGAAGUUUUCAGAGAUGAGAAUGUGCCUUCGGGAACCGUGAGACAGGUGCUGCAUGGCUGUCGUCAGCUCGUGUUGUGAAAUGUUGGGUUAAGUCCCGCAACGAGCGCAACCCUUAUCCUUUGUUGCCAGCGGUCCGGCCGGGAACUCAAAGGAGACUGCCAGUGAUAAACUGGAGGAAGGUGGGGAUGACGUCAAGUCAUCAUGGCCCUUACGACCAGGGCUACACACGUGCUACAAUGGCGCAUACAAAGAGAAGCGACCUCGCGAGAGCAAGCGGACCUCAUAAAGUGCGUCGUAGUCCGGAUUGGAGUCUGCAACUCGACUCCAUGAAGUCGGAAUCGCUAGUAAUCGUGGAUCAGAAUGCCACGGUGAAUACGUUCCCGGGCCUUGUACACACCGCCCGUCACACCAUGGGAGUGGGUUGCAAAAGAAGUAGGUAGCUUAACCUUCGGGAGGGCGCUUACCACUUUGUGAUUCAUGACUGGGGUGAAGUCGUAACAAGGUAACCGUAGGGGAACCUGCGGUUGGAUCACCU
This 1474-nucleotide ribosomal RNA is filed under the name Escherichia coli. Its description in RNAcentral is "bacterial SSU rRNA". It matches the Rfam family "Bacterial small subunit ribosomal RNA". Lineage: Bacteria; Pseudomonadati; Pseudomonadota; Gammaproteobacteria; Enterobacterales; Enterobacteriaceae. The record is from RNAcentral.